CGGGACUCAUGAUAGAAGGACUGUAUCACACGGUAACUGCACCAAGAGGUUCAGUAUUCCAUUCUACUGGAAUGCCACUAUAUGCUGCUAGGCGUCACUGGUGGAUUGUGAGACUCAUGAGAAUUAUCUAGAUGAUCGAUCAUUUUCAUUGGGCUGAGUUGGAAUUAUUUCGAUCCACUGAAAAGAGUUUCAGUGAUAUUGUUGAUAGUGAUCAAAAUAUAUCUCACUACCAGUUAGAAUAGAACCUAUGGGGUCACACACAUAAGAGGUUGUGAUUGAUCGGAUAGCUAGAUCGCGAUUAUUGAAUCGCCGGAGGACCUAAUUGUCAAUAUGUUGAUAAUUGGACUAAUUUGUAAUUGUUACAAAUUAGUGGUAUUAAGGUGUAAAUGUUACAAGAGAGGAUUUACUAAUAGUUAGUAAAUUAUAAGAGGACUUAUGUGCAAAUAUUGCAUUAUUAAUUUGAUAAGAUCAUAUUAAUAUAAAAUUAAAGAUCGAAU
This 497-nucleotide long non-coding RNA is filed under the name Ananas comosus (pineapple). RNAcentral's name for it is "long non-coding RNA (ACOM_LNC005616)". The record is from RNAcentral. Lineage: Eukaryota; Viridiplantae; Streptophyta; Magnoliopsida; Poales; Bromeliaceae.